AUUGAACGCUGGCGGCAUGCCUAACACAUGCAGGUCGAACGGUAGCAGACCUAGCUUGCUAGGUGCUGACGAGUGGCGGACGGGUGAGUAACGCGUGGGAAUCUGCCCAGUAGCGGGGGACAACUCGGGGAAACUCGAGCUAAUACCGCAUACGCCCUACGGGGAAAGGCUUCGGCCACUAUUGGAUGAGCCCGCGUCGGAUUAGCUUGUUGGUGGGGUAAUGGCCUACCAAGGCGACGAUCCGUAGCUGGUCUGAGAGGAUGAUCAGCCACACUGGCACUGAGAUACGGGCCAGACUCCUACGGGAGGCAGCAGUGAGGAAUAUUGCGCAAUGGGCGAAAGCCUGACGCAGCGACGCCGCGUGGGGGAUGAAGGUUUUCGGAUUGUAAACCCCUUUCAUGAGGAAAGAUAAAGUGGGUAACCACUUAGACGGUACCUCAAGAAGAAGCCACGGCUAACUUCGUGCCAGCAGCCGCGGUAAU
RNAcentral lists this ribosomal RNA (482 nucleotides) under uncultured bacterium. Its description in RNAcentral is "bacterial SSU rRNA". It matches the Rfam family "Bacterial small subunit ribosomal RNA", at positions 30 to 524 of the family's 1533-position model. The record is from RNAcentral.